UGUAAAAUGGUGUAUGAAGCACGUAAAUUUUUGAAUUUUAAAGUUAAGUUUAAUUCUUUAUUUUACAA
RNAcentral lists this transfer RNA (68 nucleotides) under Gessius rufidorsus. RNAcentral's name for it is "Gessius sp. 'rufidorsus' tRNA-Gln". The record is from RNAcentral. Lineage: Eukaryota; Metazoa; Arthropoda; Insecta; Hemiptera; Cicadellidae.